GGUAUGUGGUGGAGUGGUGCGACAUCUGCUUCGCACGCAGAAUGUCCCGGGUUCGAUCCCCGGC
Molecule: transfer RNA, 64 nt
Filed under: Oxyrrhis marina
Lineage: Eukaryota; Dinophyceae; Oxyrrhinales; Oxyrrhinaceae
Rfam family: tRNA
About the family: Transfer RNA (tRNA) molecules are approximately 80 nucleotides in length.
Source: RNAcentral